UCAGCUUUCAUUUUUCCAUAAUUCAUCUUUCUCCUCCUUCCAUCAUUCUUUCUCCCAUGGCUUUCCAUAAUUCUUUAACUUCCAUUUUUGAAAAUGAAUAUCAACCAAUUGAUUAAUGAGAAUGAAAUUAAUUCCUUCAUCUUUCUCUCAUAUCAUGAAAUUAAUUCCUUCAUCUUUCUCUCAUAUCAUCAUUUUCAUUUUGUGAAAAAUUCUUCAACUUUCCUUUUUGAGGAUUCAUUCACUGAUAAUGGGGGUGGGGUUCAACAGGUAAUUGGGGUUGAGAGAUUAGAGAAGAUAUUGGGG
This 303-nucleotide long non-coding RNA is filed under the name Capsicum annuum. RNAcentral describes it as "long non-coding RNA (CANN_LNC021443)". Lineage: Eukaryota; Viridiplantae; Streptophyta; Magnoliopsida; Solanales; Solanaceae. The record is from RNAcentral.